CCGGCUUCUCCGCGCCCCAUCUGAUCGGAUUCUGUUGCCCUCACCCCCAGGCCACCGACUCCUGUCCCGAGCGUGAUGUCCCCGCUGUCGCUCCGGUCGGGUAGUGGAAGGGAGGCGUAGAGGAGAUGACGACGCGGUUAGAGAGAGAGGUGGCCCACUCGGACCCCGCUGAGCCACGCUUCACGCUCGCCACCUGCACCAGCCUCCCCUCGCCGGGUCGUCGCGCUCCCCGCCCUGCUUCGAACCACCGCAUACGCUGCACCCUGCCACGCCACGGGGAGGAGACUGCGCCAGCGCUAGAAAGGAAGAAAGGGAGAGGAGCCGGCGGCGGGCAGCACGCUGAGGGCGAGGACCAUGGUUGUGGCUGACUAAAGUUGCACCGGAGAGGACGAGGAUGAGAAAGAGACGAUGAAGGCGUGAGUACUGGGGGUGGGAGCUGCAGAGGCCGGCCGUGUGGAUGCUGUGGACGACAACUGUAAAGAACAGCUCCAAUAUGCUCAUUUACAUCUCCACCGACCUGCUGCCCCCAGUCACGGAGGUUGGCAACAACAACGAGUAUGUUUCAGAUGACACCGGCUGGUGUCCAGGUAGCAGAAGCAAAGGCUCCAUAGAAUUUAAUAAAUUGAUUGCUUCAUUAGUAAAAUCAGUGUACGGUUUGCAUCGACCAAGGAGCAGCGCAGGAAGUUCCUUGAUGGCGCAAUGCAGGUGGGGAAAGAGAAAAGGAGUCAUAUCAAGUGGGCAACUGGUCAAUCAUCACUGACUGCAAUGACAAUCAAGUGACCCGAUGCACACCAAUUUGAAUCACUAAUACUUUUCUCAUGAUUCAGUCAGAACAAAAGAUGAUAACGUUCAUGUGAAAAUUGUUCUUGAUAGAGUUAAGGUCCUAAUUGGGGAAUUCCUGGAUUUGUAGUGAAACAAAGCCAAUGGUUCACUUGUUCGAGACUGCAUAGUUUUCUUAGGUGAGAAUAGACUGAACAAGCUAGCAUUCUUGAUGCACUGCUGAUACUAGCUGUUAGAUUGGAUAACUAUUAGUUUGAUAGCAAGGCUUAAUUGGUUAUGUGAAACUUCGAUCUGUCAUAAGUUAAAUUAUUUCCCCUAAGCAUCACUAAAUUUAGGAAUGUGAAAUGUGAUGGAAUUAUACCAGCUUGACAUUGACUAACUGUAUUUCUAAUUUUUCAUUCAGUAUAUCUUGUGGUUAUAAAUUGAACACAGUUGUGUUAAUAUUAGUGCAGUCUUGCAGGCUGAAAGGAAGAGUCAUAUUACCACUCCCGGCAAAAGCUCAAGAAAAAGUAAAGAAAAAGCCUGGAAUUUUGAAAACAAAUGUAAGCAGCUGACACACACAGGUGAGAUGCUCAAUUUAAACAAGAUAAUCAACGUAAAUUGGAGGAAGAUAGACGAUUAGGUUAGAUUUGAAAGAGGUAUUUCUAUCUCCAUCCAUGUAUCACCUCCGUAGCUUGUUAUUAUACAACCAGACCAACUGUCUAAUCCUUGUCAAACUUAUAAUUGAGUGUCAUGAAUGAGCAGGGGACACUGUUCAGAUUAUAAGACAGAACUGAAGAGCCAAAGGAAGAGUGCACAUAAUUUAAAUAAAAAAGUCUCUUUGGUCUAAGGUCGUUGAAGCUUGCAGAUAUUGUCCACUUCUUACAUGUUGAAUUUCAAGAUGCUUUUGGGCAUUAUGGUAUGCUCUGUCGCCACUGAGCUAUUUUCUUCUUGUAUGGGAGAUUGGGUGUGAGACCACAAACAUGAAUUAUGGUUUGGCGGACGAUUCUAGGUGAUGUAAUAAUGGCAAAUAGAGCAAAUUACUAUUUUUCUAUAAUAA
Molecule: long non-coding RNA, 1819 nt
Organism: Phragmites australis (common reed)
Lineage: Eukaryota; Viridiplantae; Streptophyta; Magnoliopsida; Poales; Poaceae
Exons: 2
Source: RefSeq, a predicted model, not a curated record